AAAUACAGAGGAAUUGGCAAAGUUAAUUACGUCAGAGAUUGAACAGAAAGCUUCCAUUAGAAAUGUGAGCCUUUGGAUCAGAUGCCUGGAUGGCCAGACUGUGAAGGCAUAAAUUUCAGUUACUCUUGAACCUGUGGAGUUUGUAGAAGACCUAAUCCCAAUUUCUUUAUGCACCAAAACACCUUAUGGCUUCAAUACAGGACACACUGGUUUAACAGUAGAGAUUGUGAAGUUCCAGAGCAUGGAGCUGACAAUGAAGAAGCAAUAAAUUUGCUCAUCUCCUUUCUACUAAGAUAUAUACCUGGCGCUUGGCCAUAGACUACCACCAAUCGAAGCCAAAAGCUCUGUUACAAUGAAUUCUGAACUUUGUUGAAAAGUCAAUAGGAAAAAAUGGACCUUAAGCAAUGGAAAUAUAGAAAAUGGUACAACUUUAUUCACAUAAAUCAAAAAUGUCACCCAUUGGCCUUGACGAGGAUGAAUGGUUAUGUAUAGUUUAUGCUGCGGUAAUGCCUCAAGGCAAUGACAAUUCAGUGAGAGAGCUGGACCCUGUACAAAUGUCCAACUGGAUGGAUAAACUCUGGAAGAACAGUCUGCCAGAAAAACUGUCAGAACAGGUAAAUAGGAUGAGCUAUCCUAACACAAACAAAUGACAGGAUAGAGUCCCAUUGGUUUUAUUAUAAUAAAGACAAAGUCAAUGCUGACA
Molecule: long non-coding RNA, 703 nt
Filed under: Anas platyrhynchos platyrhynchos (common mallard)
Lineage: Eukaryota; Metazoa; Chordata; Aves; Anseriformes; Anatidae
Description: lncRNA (ENSAPLG00000019757.1)
Source: RNAcentral